CAUAGCGGAGGAAAAGAAACUAACAAGGAUUCCCCUAGUAACUGCGAGUGAAGCGGGAAAAGCUCCAAAUUUAAAAUCUGGCGGUCCUUGUGGCCGUCCGAGUUGUAAUCUGGAGAAGUGCUUUCCGCGCUGGACCGUGUACAAGUCUCUUGGAACAGAGCGUCGUAGAGGGUGAGAAUCCCGUCUUUGACACGGACUACCAGUGCUUUGUGAUGCGCUCUCAAAGAGUCGAGUUGUUUGGGAAUGCAGCUCAAAAUGGGUGGUAAAUUCCAUCUAAAGCUAAAUAUUGGCGAGAGACCGAUAGCGAACAAGUACCGUGAGGGAAAGAUGAAAAGAACUUUGGAAAGAGAGUUAAACAGUACGUGAAAUUGCUGAAAGGGAAACGCUUGAAGUCAGUCGCGUUGGCCGGGACUCAGCCUUGCUUCCGCUUGGUUUAUUUUCUGGUCGACGGGUCAGCAUCAGUUUUGAUCGUCGGACAAUGGCUGGGGGAAUGUGGCAUCUUCGGAUGUGUUAUAGCCCUCGGUCGCAUACGAUGGUUGGGACUGAGGAUCUCAGCACACCUUUAUGGUCGGGGUUCGCCCACGUUUGUGCUUAGGAUGCUGGCAUAAUGGCUUUAAACGACCCGUCUUGAAACACGGACCAAGGAGUCUAACAUGCAUGCGAGUGUUUGGGUGGAAAACCCGAGCGCGUAAUGAAAGUGAAAGUUGAGACCUCUGUCGUGGAGGGCAUCGACGCCCGGACCAGACCUUCUGUGACGGCCCUGCGGUAGAGCAUGUAUGUUGGGACCCGAAAGAUGGUGAACUAUGCCUGAAUAGGGUGAAGCCAGAGGAAACUCUGGUGGAGGCUCGUAGCGAUUCUGACGUGCAAAUCGAUCGUCAAAUUUGGGUAUAGGGGCGAAAGACUAAUCGAACCAUCUAGUAGCUGGUC
This 927-nucleotide ribosomal RNA is filed under the name [Ptychogaster] rubescens. RNAcentral's name for it is "LSU rRNA". It matches the Rfam family "Eukaryotic large subunit ribosomal RNA", at positions 46 to 956 of the family's 3401-position model. The record is from RNAcentral. Lineage: Eukaryota; Fungi; Basidiomycota; Agaricomycetes; Polyporales; Postiaceae.